GCAGGUUAGCUCAACGGGUAGAGCACCAGAUUAGAACUCUGGAAGUUGCGGGUUCGACUCCCGUACCACA
RNAcentral lists this transfer RNA (70 nucleotides) under Planctomyces sp. Its description in RNAcentral is "tRNA-Ser". It matches the Rfam family "tRNA", at positions 5 to 66 of the family's 71-position model. From Rfam's summary of the family: Transfer RNA (tRNA) molecules are approximately 80 nucleotides in length. Lineage: Bacteria; Pseudomonadati; Planctomycetota; Planctomycetia; Planctomycetales; Planctomycetaceae. The record is from RNAcentral.